GUUUCAACAGCAGUGGGGACAUUCCCACAGGAUUUUUUUCCUACCACAUUCUGACUUUUUAAAGCAAACAUUUUUGGUGGUACUGGGGAUUGAACCCAGGGCCUUCACAAUGAGUUACAUUCCCAGCCCUCUUAAAUAUAUUUGUGCUUUCUAAAUUUUGGGACAGACUCUGUAAGUUACUACAUUGACCAGGCGGGGCUUGAACUUGCAAUCUUCCUGUUUCAGCCUCCUGGAGUGUUGGGCUCACAGGCCUGAGCCACCACACCCAGAUCAUACUCUUACUCUGAGAAGCAGGAAGCCACAGGUGUGACAGGGUGGCCUUCCUUCCAUCUUGCUCAAAAUAGUGCCUCUUUGUUAGCCUGUGAAAAGGUUCUCCACUGAGAUUUCUCUUGCUUUCUGUCAUUCAGAAUGUUUCUUAUUAGGAGAGUCAACUUUCAGAUUCUCUGAAGAAAAUUAUUUCCUAGGAAAGGUAAGAGGUUAAAGAAGAUGCUGCUAAAAUUAGCUCCUUUUAUGGCCCUGUAGAAGUGAUUACAGCAACGCAGUCGUUGGAGGCAAUAACUUAAGAAAUGCUUCAGAAAUGAACUCUUCAUGCCGAUUGGCAAGAGCUCUCCAGGAAUCCCAGUUAUAAUUACUGCUGAUUCUUGGGGGGCUCUUUAAGAUGGAGUGGCUCUGGGGCUCACUGCUCAGGUGAGCCUUCUGGUUCGCUGCAUUGCAAUUUGAUGCAUCGCGCUGAACUCUCACCCCACAGUUUGCUUGCUGAUGACUAUUUAAUGAGGCCUGCAGCCUUCAGAAAUCUCCAUGAUGAAGAGAGCUGAUCCUUAGUGCCAUCAGCUGCCCGGAUUCCAGUGCAUUUAAGGAAGUCAAGAUGUUUCUCUUUAACUGUCCACACACCUAGAGGAGCUUGGAGUGAAUGCGACGAGAAGACAGGUCCAGUCAUGGUGCUUGUCCCCUCGCCCAAGGGCCCAGGACAGCUGGACCAACGCUUGCCCACCUACGUCCAACGUGUCGGUGGGGUUUUCAUGCCCUUUCCCAAGCCGCAGGACCCACCGACUAACAGAAGGGGAGUCGGUGCCUUUGGAACUCAGAACGUCAUAAUCUCACUUUGCUACAAGGGCCAUCACUGUAGCACAGGCUGCAGGAAAGGAAAAGGAAGGAAGAAAGGGAAGACCACAGUCAUGGUGUAGCCCUGCAGUCUAAUUAACGUUGCCACCGAUUUAGGUGUGAUUAGCAGUGCGUUUCCAUUCCUUAGUCAAUAAAGGUGAUGAGAUUGGACCAAGCUGAUUGUUUCUGCUGUGCAGAUGCACGCUGGCCCCUGGUUGGCUGGAUGGCUCUCACCUGCUAAUCGGGGUGACCAUCGAGGAGGAGGAAGUGGAUAGAGGUAAAUGCCUUCUCCUAACGCGGAGGACUCACACUAGUGGCCACGGCAGAAGCUCUUGCUAAUAUUUGGGCUGCGAUCCUCACAGGUAAUUGGACCUAUGCCUAUCACGCGACACCCAUCUGAUCCGGGGAAGGUGUGAGCAGAGCGUGGGUUUGGGGCAGUGCCCUGGAGGAUCUCCAGAAUGGUUCAGCUGAACUGAGAUUGUCUCUUUAAUUACCACUUUGCCAG
Fukomys damarensis (Damara mole-rat) is the source of this 1606-nucleotide long non-coding RNA. The record is from Ensembl. Lineage: Eukaryota; Metazoa; Chordata; Mammalia; Rodentia; Bathyergidae.